CUUUUUUUUUUAUUUUAUUUUUAGAUACACCAUAAUUAUUCCUCUAAAAGAAAAUUACCAACUUCGAUUCUCUGGACAAAGAAGAAGAAGAUAAGAAGAUAGUUUCAUGCAUGCAUAAAUCAAUAUUGAGAGAUGAUUCCCAAAACCAAAGGAAAAGCUGGAAAUGAGGAUUGAUGUCCGAUGCUUGGAGAUGGGUUGUUUUUACAGACACAACUUCAAAUUCCUCCCUUCUAUUCACACAAACAACAUGGCUCCGGAUUCCAGGACCGAACCGC
Molecule: unclassified non-coding RNA, 275 nt
Filed under: Hevea brasiliensis (rubber tree)
Lineage: Eukaryota; Viridiplantae; Streptophyta; Magnoliopsida; Malpighiales; Euphorbiaceae
Source: RNAcentral